CACUCUGUGUGUUUUGUUGAACCUGUGGACAAAAACAAAUAGGUGUGAAAAACAAAUCCCCUUUGCAACUCAGAACUCAUUGUUCAGUAUGAGUUUGGGUCCACAUAAGAAGGAAAGUU
Heterocephalus glaber (naked mole-rat) is the source of this 119-nucleotide small nucleolar RNA. Lineage: Eukaryota; Metazoa; Chordata; Mammalia; Rodentia; Bathyergidae. The record is from Ensembl.